RNAcentral lists this long non-coding RNA (7167 nucleotides) under Cucumis sativus (cucumber). Its description in RNAcentral is "long non-coding RNA (CSAT_LNC001557)". Lineage: Eukaryota; Viridiplantae; Streptophyta; Magnoliopsida; Cucurbitales; Cucurbitaceae. The record is from RNAcentral.
AAGAGACCCUCUACUGGUCCCGUCAGGGGAAAAUAAAUUGUUAACGUUCUAUUGGGACACCCUGUACAGUCGCAGUCUUGAGAUCCCAUAGGAUACACAUCUCAGUCUAACGCCCCGAGGGACAUACAUAUCAGUCUAGUGUUCUGCGGAAACACAUAUCAGUCUAAUGCUUCCGAAGGUGCACAAUAAAUUGGUGAUCCCGUGGGACACCUACAAGGUACACAUCCCAAUACAUUCUAACAAUUUUCCCCUCAAUACAUUCUAACAAUUUUCCCCUCAAUACAUUCUAACAAUUUUCCCCUCAAUACAUUCUAACAAUUUUCCCCUCAAUCCAUUCAAUCCAUCUUUCAAUUACUUCAAAACACAAAGUUCUUUCUUUCGACGUCCUAACAGUCAACUUAUUUUACUUUAGUCAUAUGUCUAUCAAUAAUAUGCUAAUAUAUCAGUCAAUCAAACUAUACAGUCAACACACCCCUCAGUUCAUCAGCACACAGUCAUACUUUAAACGUAACGUACACCCAAUCUAAACGAAAAUCACAAGUUCACAUCUGCAUCUCAUACAAACACAAUUUACAAUCUUCGUCCUGUCCACAUACACACACUUAUAUAUAUAUUCCAUGACAAUCACGAUAUACAUUCGACGUCAAGUCUACUUCAAUUCAUAUACAUUCAUAUAUAUUUUCAGUCAAUCCACAGUAUACAUUUAACACAUACAAUCCACAGUCAUAAGUGAAUCUAGUAGAAAAUCCCUUACCUUCAAGUUAGUUAAGCUCCUUAACCACGUUGAAGUCUAUGAAGAACGAACCUAAACAUUAAGACAAUUUCUCAAUAAUUCUCUUCAACGCAUCAAUCAUUUAAAUUCAACCCAAUGUGAAUCUUUUUACAACUUACCCAAAUCUUCGCGAAAGAAAUCGAGCAGUAGCUUUGCGAAGAGAUGAAGUGCGACGGAGAGACCGUAUACAGACGGCCGGAGAUUCGCGCGGCAGUGCAGACAACGGAAGAGAAGGGAUCGGCGGCGGCUGGCUUGGACGGCGAUUGUGAGCGGCGGACGUGGCGGUUACUGGUUCACACGGCGGCUCGGGCUUCGACGAAGACAGAACCGGCGAUGGAGAUGGCAGAUCGGCGCGCGGGACGACUGCUGCAAGGUUGCUUCGCGAAACGGAGAUGGAAACGGCAGAUCGGCGCACGGGCUGCAGCUGGGCUGCGGCGGGAAGAAAACGGAAGAGAAAGGAUCGGCGGCUGGCUGCGGCUGGGCUACGGCGGGAGGAAAACGGAAGGGAAAGGAUCGCGGCGGCUGGCUGCGGCGGGAAGAAAAUGGAAGUCGCGGCGCACGACGGAAGAAGGAAAUAGGGGUGGCGGUUGCUGCGGCUACGACGCAGAUCUGGACUGAGCAGCGGUCACGUGGGCGGCGACGGCUGCUGCGAACGGAAGAAGAAGAGGAGAAGGUCGACGGUUACUGGGCUGCGGACGGAGAGAAGGGGAAGGGUGCACGGGGAGGAAGGAGAAAAGAGAAAAGAAAAGAAAAAGGAAAAAGAAAAGAAAAGGAAAAAGAAAAACAAAAUAUAUAUAUUUCUUUUUCUUUUCUUUUUAUUUAAAUUAAAUAUAAAUAAAUAUAUAUAUAUAUAUAUAUAUAUAUAUAUAUAUAUAUAUAUAUAUAUAUAUAAAAUAAAAACAAAAUAUAUAUAUAUAUAUACCUUGGGGCAUUACAUUCUUCCCUCCUUAAGAAACUUUCGUCCUCGAAAUUAAUAAUUCUGAAAUAACUCCUGGAUAACGAGUCCUCAUCUCUUCCUCUCGCUCCCAUGUCGCCUCUUCCAUUCGAUGGUUCCGCCACAAAACUUUUACUAAUGGAAUGCUUCUAUUACGAAGCAUCUUUACCUCUCUAGCCAGAAUUUCCACAGGUUGUUCUACAUAGCUCAAAUGCUCAUCAAUCUCCAAGGGUUCAUAGUCUACUACAUGAGAUGUAUCGGCCACAUACUUUCUCAACAUCGAAACAUGGAAAACAUUAUGAACUGCAGAGAGAGAUGGUGGUAAUGCCAAGCGAUACGCCACAACACCACACCCUCUCUAAGAUCUCAAAUGGUCCAACAAAACGAGGACUUAACUUCCCUUUCUUCUCAAAAACGCAUAACACCCUUCAUAGGUGCUACCUUCAAGAAUACUUUUUCUCCCACAUCAAACUUAAGGUCUUUUUGCCGUACAUCUGCAUAACUCUUCUGUCUACUCUGCGCUGUUUGCAUACGUGCUCUAAUCUUUUGAAUAGUCUCAUUAGUAGACCGAACUAAUUCAAGUCCCAUCAACCUAUGUUCACCAACCUCACUCCAACAAACAGGGGUUCUACAACAUUUACCAUACAAAGCUUCAAAUGGCGCCAUACCGAUGGUAGCCUGGAAACUGUUGUUAUAAGCAAACUCCAUUAAAUGUAGAUGAGAGUCCCAACUACCUAGAAACUCUAGAACACAAGCUCGUAGCAUAUCCUCUAAAACUUGAUUCAAACGUUCAGUUUGACCAUCAGUCUGUGGAUGAAAGGCUGUACUGAAAUCCAAUCUCAUACCCAUAGCAGUCUGAAGUCCCUUCCAAAACUUGGAAGUAAACCGUGCAUCCCUAUCAGAAACAAUCGAUACAGGCACUCCAUGCAGUUUCACAAUCUCAGUUAAAUACAACUCUGCCCACUUACUAGCAGUAUAAGUGGAUUUUCCUGGUACAAAAUGUGCCGAUUUCGUAAGCCUGUCUAUGACAACCAAAAUCACUGUGAAACCCUUCAGGGUCUUUAGGCAGCCCUGAAAUAAAAUCCAUCGACACAUUCUCCCACUUCCACUCUGGCACACUUAAAGGUUGUAACAAACCUGUUGGUUUCUGUCUAGGUGCCUUAACCUGCUGACAUACUAGACACUUACUAACGAAUUCCGCCACUUCCCUUUUCAUAUUUUGCCACCAGUAAAAUCGUUUUAGAUCCUGAUACAUUUUCGUGCUACCAGGAUGCAUGGAAAAUGGGGAAUUAUGGGCUUCAUCUAGUAGGUCAAUCUUAACUGUACUGUUCGCUGGCACACACAAACGUCUCUCAAACAUCAACCCACCAUCAGAGGAUAUGAAGAACUCAUCAGUCUGCCCUGUUUCAACAAGGCGAUGUCUCUCCAUCAAAUAAGGAUCACUACUCUGAGCAUCAACAAUCUUCUGCUUCAGAGUCGGUUGCACCAUUAAUUGAGCUAGCUGUGAGGUGACUCUCCCCACAGACACUGCAAUCUCAGCUCUCUCCAAGUCUCGAUGCAAUGGUACCUGUCUAGUAAUGAGUGCUGCCGAAUGUGAUACUUUUCUACUAAGAGCAUCAGCCACCACAUUCGCCUUACCAGGAUGGUACAAUAUCUCGCAGUCAUAAUCUUUUACCAACUCGAGCCACCUUCGUUGACUCAUAUUCAACUCCUUCUGAGUGAAGAAGUACUUUAGGCUCUUAUGGUCAGUAAAGAUUUGUAUCUUUUCACCGUACAAGUAAUGUCUCCAUAUCUUCAAUGCAAAAACCACUGCUGCCAACUCCAAAUCAUGUGUGGGGUAGUUCUGCUCGUGAUCUUCAACUGACGAGAGGCAUAAGCAACCACCUUACCUUUCUGCAUCAAAACACAACCCAGUCCUUUCUUGGAAGCAUCACUGUAAAUCACAAAACUUCCAGAUCCAUCUGGUACAGUAAGGACCGGUGCAGUAACUAACCUUUGCUUUAAGUUCUGAAAACUGUCCUCGCAAGCUGGACUCCAAACAAACGGAGUUCCCUUCCUUGUCAACUGAGUCAAGGGAGUAGCCAAACGUGAAAAAUCCUCCACAAACCUCCGGUAGUACCCUGCUAAACCCAGAAAACUACAAACCUCACUAACUGUAGAGGGUCGAGACCAACUGGUAACCGCUUCUAUCUUUGCAGGGUCUACUGAAACUCCCUCACUAGAAACCACAUGACCAAGAAAAGCCACCUGCUUCAACCAAAAUUCGCACUUAGAGAACUUAGCAUACAGUUUAUUGACUCGAAGAGUCUCUAACACCUUAUGUAAGUGUUCCUCAUGUUCGGCUUCAGUCUUGGAAUAAACCAAAAUAUCAUCAAUGAAGACUAUCACAAAAGUGUCUAAGAAAUCCUUAAACACCCUGUUCAUCAAAUCCAUAAAUACAGCAGGUGCAUUAGUCAAACCAAAAGACAUUACUAUGAAUUCAUAAUGUCCAUACCUCGAAUGAAAAGCAGUCUUAGGAAUAUCACGGUCUCUAAUCCUCAACUGGUGAUAACUUAACCGUAAGUCAAUCUUAGAGAACACCGUGGCUCCCUGUAACUGAUCGAACAAGUCAUCAAUUCUGGGUAAAGGAUAUCUGUUCUUGACUGUUACUUUAUUCAAUGCUCUAUAGUCAAUGCAAAGACGCAUCGACCCAUCCUUCUUCUUCACAAACAAUACUGGUGCACCCCAAGGUGACACACUAGGUCGAAUAAAGCCUUUGUCAAGCAAUUCCUGUAACUGUACCUUCAGUUCUUUCAACUCAGCAGGAGCCAUCCUAUAAGGGGCUCUAGAAAUAGGAGUAGUGUCUGGCUCCAACUCAAUGGCAAAAUCAACCUCUCUAUGUGGCGGUAGUCCUGGAAGAUCUUUUGGAAACACAUCCGGGUAUUCUCUUACCACAGGUUCUGAAGUUAAAGAAGUCUCACCUUCCCUAGUAUCCACCACACUUGCCAAAAUACUCCAAGUACCCUGGUUGAGUAGUUUACUAGCUUUCAUAGCUGAGAUUACUUUAGGCAGUACUACUGUUCCUACCCCCUUGAAUUUAAAACUAGAUGCAGUAGGGGGACUGAACACAACUUCCUUACGAGAACAAUCAAUACUAGCAUGAUUAGUAGCUAGCCAAUCCAUACCUAAAAUUACAUCAAAGUCACGCAUAUCUAAUACCAACAAGGUUACGUCCAGCACACGACCAGCUAUCUCAAUUUCACAUGCUUUAAUCUUUUCCUUAGACAACAUAAAUUCUCCAGACGGUGUAAACACUGACAAAACAUAGUCUAAGAGUUCCACCUCUAAGCAUGCAUGUGUCACAAAAAGCGAUGAAAUAAAUGAAUGAGAAGAUCCCGAGUCAAACAAGGUCAAGGCAAAAUGCCCUAACACUGGUAAUGUACCUGUCACUACUGUGCCGACCUUCUCUGCCUCUGAUCUAUUAGUGGCAAAGAUUGUACCCCGCUGUGGAGGUCUCUCUCCCUGACUGCUCGAUCCAGCUCCAGUAGAUCUCAAGGGACACCUAUCAGCCAUGUGUCCCUCUUGCUUGCACUUAUAACAGACUCUCAUUCCCAUCAAACAACGACCUAGGUGGCGUUUCCCACACGUAUUGCAUAAUGGCUUCUCUCGAGUAGUGUCUCCUGCCCGCCAGAACUCUGUUGGAAAUUGCGAAAAGGAUCGCCUGGUCUCAAGUUCCUCUGAGGAACUCCCACAGUUCUCUGCUCUACUUUUCUCUUUUGACCCGAUGACGAUCCCUUAUCAAAGCUCCUUGGCCGUAUUUCAUCCUUCCCAAUGCUCAUAUUCACUGCCAGACGCAGUGCUUCAGCCUGGUUAGUGGGCUUUAGUGCUCGCACAAAGCCCCUAAUUUCAUCUCUCAAUCCCUUGACGAACCUAUCAGCUCUAGCUUGCUCAUUACUAACAAGCUCAGGGGCAAAACGUGACAGCAUAUCGAACUCCUGGUCGUACUCCUCGACUGUCAUAUAUCCUUGCUUCAACUCCAAGAAUUCCUGGCUUUUGGCGUCUCUAAGGUUAGCCGAGAAAAACUUGGUAUAGAAGCAGUCCUUAAACUGAUCCCAGGUAAUCUGCCUCACAUCUCCACCUAACAUGCGCAUAGUAGUCCUCCACCAGAUAAUGCCUCUGUCCCUCAGUAGAAAAGCAGCACACUGAACUCUGUGCUCCUCGGGACAUCUCAUGUAAUUAAAUAUGGUUUCCACAGAGGACAACCACAAUUCAGCUUUAGUAGGAUCCUCCAGUGACCCAUCAAACGUCUGAGGGUCAUAUUUCCGAAAGUCCCUCAAAUGUUUCGCCUCAGCAGAAAGUUGGUUCGGUAAUAUCUGCGGCUGUUGUGCAGCAAAUCCUUGUGCAGGAGGGGCUGCUGGUGCAGGGGGAACUACAGGUGCAGGUGGAACGACAGGUGCCUGCUGGUUCUGAGCUAUAGCCGUCAUAAGUUCUGUAAACCUCUGCUCCAUGUGAGCAGACAGUGCAUCAAACUCGACGUGAGUCACGGGUGCAGCAGGAAUUCGUUGUUCAACUUGACCCUCAGUAGGCUGAUUACGACCUGCUCCUCUACCUCGGCCUCCUGCUCCUCUACCUCGGCCUCUACGACCUCCUCUACGUACACCUUCCCUUGGCGGCAUAAUUCCUAUUAUCCACCAACAACACUCUUUAACAAAAUCUUAAUCAUAAGCAUAAGCAAGUCUUUAUCGUCAUGCAAUCUAGUUUAAUUUAGGCAAGGUCAUGCAAAUAAACCAUACAUGUAAGCAUCAAGCAUACCUGACGAGAGACGAAGGGUCGCGUUAACCAUAGGAACACAAAAACAUAGACUUACAUCGUAAGUCAGUCUACAGAACCUAAAACUUAGGCUUUGAUACCAACUGUAACGACCCAACUUCUCUAAGUAAGUCGAGAUCGUUAAUUUUUAACAAAUAAAGACUUUGAUUAAUAUAAAACAAAACGUAAGCAAUUUAAAAAAAAAAAACAUCUUCAAGUCAGGCCUGAUUUUUAAACAUUCAAGAAAACAUAAAAUAAUACUAUUUACAACAAACGUUUGUAAACUAAAUUUCAAUUCAUUUUAAACCUCACAAGAACCCAUAAGCGGAAGUAAAACACGUUUCCUAUGGCAUCACGCUUCCUUCCUGCCCCUCACCGGUUUGCCGCCUUUAUUACCUUUGCCUGAAAAUUAAACAUAAGAAGGGUGAGUAUUUAAAUACUCAGUAAGAGACCCUCUACUGGUCCCGUCAGGGGAAAAUAAAUUGUUAACAUUCUAUUGGGACACCCUGUACAGUCGCAGUCUUGUGAUCCCGUAGGAUACACAUCUCAGUCUAACGCCCCGAGGAACGUACAUAUCAGUCUAGUGUUCUGCAGAAACACAUAUCAGUCUAAUGCUUCCGAAGGUGCACAAUAAAUUGGUGAUCCCGUGGGACACCUACAAGGUACACAUCCC